Molecule: long non-coding RNA, 369 nt
Organism: Corapipo altera (White-ruffed manakin)
Lineage: Eukaryota; Metazoa; Chordata; Aves; Passeriformes; Pipridae
Exons: 2
Source: RefSeq, a predicted model, not a curated record
CCUGUGACAACCUGCCCUGUUCCAUGCCAUCGGCAAUGCCCACCGUGUCACGAAGGGCCCUGUGACACACUGCCACCUGCCCUGGGGCCUCCCCCAGCCCAGCCACCUGCCCCAGGGGGCUGUUGGGAGCAGCACCUGGAGCAAUUGGUGGCAGCGUUCGGCAUCUGUCAGAACACAGGAGCACUUUCUCCUUGCAGGAAUGAUUUUUGCAGGGAAGUGAUGACCUGCAGCAGAAAACCACCAUCAGUUGCUGAGUUUCACAUGAAGAUUAGAUUGCUCAGAAAUCCUGUCAAGCUUCCUCGUGUUAUUUGGACUUUUUUUCUGCAUUCUGCAAAAUAAAAGCUGUCCAGUCUGACGUUCAAAGCUCCA